GCACCCGUAGCUCAGCUGGAUAGAGCACCAGGCUUCGAACCUGGGAGUCGGGGGUUCGAAUCCCUCCGGGUGCGCCA
Molecule: transfer RNA, 77 nt
Filed under: Desulfobulbus sp. Tol-SR
Lineage: Bacteria; Pseudomonadati; Thermodesulfobacteriota; Desulfobulbia; Desulfobulbales; Desulfobulbaceae
Also listed under: 3 other names
Description: tRNA-Arg
Rfam family: tRNA
About the family: Transfer RNA (tRNA) molecules are approximately 80 nucleotides in length. Their secondary structure includes four short double-helical elements and three loops (D, anti-codon, and T loops).
Source: RNAcentral